GACGAACGCUGGCGGCGUGCUUAACACAUGCAAGUCGAACGGAAAGGCCCUGCUUUUGUGGGGUGCUCGAGUGGCGAACGGGUGAGUAACACGUGAGUAACCUGCCCUUGACUUUGGGAUAACUUCAGGAAACUGGGGCUAAUACCGGAUAGGAGCUCCUGCUGCAUGGUGGGGGUUGGAAAGUUUCGGCGGUUGGGGAUGGACUCGCGGCUUAUCAGCUUGUUGGUGGGGUAGUGGCUUACCAAGGCUUUGACGGGUAGCCGGCAUGAGAGGGUGACCGGCCACAUGGGGACUGAGAGACGGACCAGACUGCUACGGGAGGCAGCAGUGGGGAAUAUGGCACAAUGGGCGGAAGCCUGAUGCAGCAACGCCGCGUGCGGGAUGACGGCCUUCGGGUUGUAAACCGCUUUCGACUGUGACGAAGCGUGAGUGACGGUAAUGGGUAAAGAAGCACCGGCUAACUACGUG
This 468-nucleotide ribosomal RNA is filed under the name uncultured bacterium. Its description in RNAcentral is "partial 16S ribosomal RNA". It matches the Rfam family "Bacterial small subunit ribosomal RNA", at positions 28 to 507 of the family's 1533-position model. The record is from RNAcentral.